RNAcentral lists this ribosomal RNA (373 nucleotides) under uncultured bacterium. RNAcentral describes it as "bacterial SSU rRNA". It matches the Rfam family "Bacterial small subunit ribosomal RNA", at positions 521 to 896 of the family's 1533-position model. The record is from RNAcentral.
UAAUACGGAGGGUGCAAGCGUUAUCCGGAUUCACUGGGUUUAAAGGGUGUGUAGGCGGGCUGUUAAGUCAGUGGUGAAAUCUCCGGGCUCAACCCGGAAACUGCCAUUGAUACUAUCAGUCUUGAAUAUCGAUGAGGUGGGCAGAAUAUGUCAUGUAGCGGUGAAAUGCAUAGAUAUGACAUAGAAUACCGAUUGCGAAGGCAGCUCACUAACCGAUCAUUGACGCUGAGGCACGAAAGCGUGGGGAUCAAACAGGAUUAGAUACCCUGGUAGUCCACGCCCUAAACGAUGAUUACUCGACAUACGCGAUACACUGUGUGUGUCUGAGCGAAAGCAUUAAGUAAUCCACCUGGGAAGUACGUCCGCAAGGAUG